Molecule: ribosomal RNA, 497 nt
Filed under: uncultured bacterium
Lineage: Bacteria
Description: partial 16S ribosomal RNA
Rfam family: Bacterial small subunit ribosomal RNA
Source: RNAcentral
GAUGAACGCUGGCGGCGUGCCUAAUACAUGCAAGUCGAGCGAACAGACGAGGAGCUUGCUCCUCUGACGUUAGCGGCGGACGGGUGAGUAACACGUGGAUAACCUACCUAUAAGACUGGGAUAACUUCGGGAAACCGGAGCUAAUACCGUAUAAUAUAUUGAACCGCAUGGUUCAAUAGUGAAAGACGGUUUUGCUGUCACUUAUAGAUGGAUCCGCGCCGCAUUAGCUAGUUGUUAAGGUAACGGCUUAUCAAGGCAACGAUGCGUAGCCGACCUGAGGGGGUGAUCGGCCACACUGGAACGUGGACACGGUCCAGACUCCUACGGGAGGCAGCAGUAGGGAAUCUUCCGCAAUGGGCGAAAGCUUGACGGAGCAACGCCGCGUGAGUGAUGAAGGUCUUCGGAUCGUAAAACUCUGUUAUUAGGGAAGAACAAAUGUGUAAGUAACUAUGCACGUCUUGACGGUACCUAAUCAGAAAGCCACGGCUAACUACGUG